UCGGCUUCCAUUCAAUGAUUAUGCGAUCGCUAGGUGCUCCUGAGUUUUUGAAAUCUGCAAAUUUCUCACCCAUUUUGUCAGCACUAGAUUGCUUCAGAUACAUUGGCCUCAGACACCAUUCCCUUGUCAUUCUAAUAUUUCUUACUGUCAGAAAUUGAGAAUGAUUAAAAAUAAGCAGAAUCAGUAAAGUGCCAUAUAUAAAUCACUGUCAUGUUUUGUGACAAAAUCUGAAAAGUAUGAGUCACAAAAAAGAACAAGAACAAACUAAAAUCUUGUAUGCUUCAGUUCUAACAUCUGAAGGAUAGCUCUCUACUACGAUGUCCUUCAAAAUUUUGACCAAAUUACCUAUGCUUAAAACUAGGAGUUAAUCUCAGAAUGUAUACUUCUCCUAUAAACAAUGUAUGUAUUCCUGGAAUGCUGUACCUUCCGUGAAACCAUGCACUACAGAUAAAAAUUGACUUAGGGACAGACCACUGAAAUGUAUGCACCGUUGUGAUAAGACCACUAACAGAAACAAAAUUUAGCAGCGAACCUGACCUGUACAGCCUAGGCUGCUUU
RNAcentral lists this long non-coding RNA (558 nucleotides) under Homo sapiens (human). Its description in RNAcentral is "novel transcript". The record is from RNAcentral. Lineage: Eukaryota; Metazoa; Chordata; Mammalia; Primates; Hominidae.